AAAAUACAUUCUUUCCACUUAAUCCCAAUUUUGGUUUACUUAUGCUAUUAUUUAACAUGUUUUGAUUUACAGGCCUGCUCAGAGAAAAAGCGAAGCGGUAAACUUUAGCAAAUUAAUUAGCAAUGGUUACGGGACUGACUGGUAUCAACAACAUACUGCAUGGAAAAAAAAGAUUCAAGAAACUUCAGAAAACAGUGAGCAGUCCACAGAUUCAGAGCCAUCACAGUCUGAAUCAGCACCUGCAAGCAGUGAAUUGAAGCCAGAGUUUCAGGGAUGUAAUAAGUAACUUAAAAGAUGAUUGGGGAAAGUAAGGCAUUAUAUGGCUUAUGAUAAAGUCCACUAUUUACAUCUUUGUUGGUUUACUUUUGUCUGAUUAGAUUAUUUUAACGAUUGAACUCAUCCCUGAUUGAGUAGCUCAGUUCAUUUAUAACAGGAGUGAACUUUAUUGUGCUUGAUGACAGCAAAUUCUAAAGAAUAGCUGUCAGUGCAUAUGCCUAGGAUUUUUCUUUAUAUAUAGAGAGCGAAACUAAAGUUCUCUCCUACACCAGACUUCUGCUCCCUUGCUGUUGUCAAAUAGUAUUGUCCUGUUGCUGCUCAUUUGACUAUAUACAUGUACAAUAUCAAUGUGUCCAAAUCAACACGUUUCUUUAACUAUAGUUAUGCUUGUCACCUAUGACAAAAACAGUGAGGGAGAACUGCAUGGUACAGGAGGAAAUGUAAAGAGAAAGACUUGAACUGGUCUGGCUACUUGCAGGAGAAAAGAAGUCAAACCUUCAUUGGAAAGAUGGCUUCUUAGUACCCAAAGAACAUUUAGAACAAAUAUUAAGAUUUCUUAGACAAUUCUAUUGCUAUGCAAGCUAGAACUAGUUGAGUGGUGAUAGUGUUCAGCCACGUAAUUAAGGUAAGAGUUGUUGGCAUUUCCUGUUACACAUUUCCUUAUUUUACAGAAGGUGGAUCGUUAAGGAAACAGUGACACAGACUAAGCUGUGCAUAUCUACACAGUCAGCCUUUUAGAUAAAAAAAAAAAUAUCCUGAAUUUGACUACAAAAAUAAAUGGUAUGCUAGAUGUGUUUAUUCA
Molecule: long non-coding RNA, 1078 nt
Filed under: Anas platyrhynchos platyrhynchos (common mallard)
Lineage: Eukaryota; Metazoa; Chordata; Aves; Anseriformes; Anatidae
Description: lncRNA (ENSAPLG00000019048.1)
Source: RNAcentral